GGAUGAACGCUGGCGGCGUGCUUAACACAUGCAAGUCGAACGAUGAAGCCCAGCUUGCUGGGUGGAUUAGUGGCGAACGGGUGAGUAACACGUGAGUAACCUGCCCCCGACUCUGGGAUAAGCCCGGGAAACUGGGUCUAAUACCGGAUAUUACCUUUGACCGCAUGGUUGUUGGUGGAAAGAUUUAUCGGUGGGGGAUGGACUCGCGGCCUAUCAGCUUGUUGGUGAGGUAAUGGCUCACCAAGGCGACGACGGGUAGCCGGCCUGAGAGGGUGACCGGCCACACUGGGACUGAGACACGGCCCAGACUCCUACGGGAGGCAGCAGUGGGGAAUAUUGCACAAUGGGCGAAAGCCUGAUGCAGCGACGCCGCGUGAGGGAUGACGGCCUUCGGGUUGUAAACCUCUUUCAGUAGGGAAGAAGCGAAAGUGACGGUA
Molecule: ribosomal RNA, 437 nt
Filed under: uncultured bacterium
Lineage: Bacteria
Description: bacterial SSU rRNA
Rfam family: Bacterial small subunit ribosomal RNA
Source: RNAcentral